RNAcentral lists this microRNA (24 nucleotides) under Schistosoma japonicum. Its description in RNAcentral is "miRNA-3054". Lineage: Eukaryota; Metazoa; Platyhelminthes; Trematoda; Strigeidida; Schistosomatidae. The record is from RNAcentral.
GGAAGGGCGAGAGCAGACAGUUUU